Molecule: long non-coding RNA, 1129 nt
Filed under: Phasianus colchicus (ring-necked pheasant)
Lineage: Eukaryota; Metazoa; Chordata; Aves; Galliformes; Phasianidae
Description: lncRNA (ENSPCLG00000017521.1)
Source: RNAcentral
UUUUUGUCUUUUUCGAGGGGGGGGGUCCUGAUCCCUUCUUGUUCCUUACAUCCCUGUCAGGGGUUCAGUGUCUCCUUUUGUUCCUUAGAUCCUUUUUGGGGGGGGUCCUUUUAGGGGUUCCGUGUCCCCUCCUGUCCCUUUGGUCCCUUUAGGGUGUCCCAUAUCCUUUUGGGGGGGGUCCCACAUCCCUUUGGGGGUCCCAUGUCCCUUUUUGGGGUCCCAUGUUCCCUCCUGUCCCUUUAGGAUGUCCCACAUCCCUUUGGGGGGAUCCUAUGUCCAUUUGGGGGUCCCACAUCCCUUUGGGGGGGGUCCAUGUCCUUUUGGGGGGGUCCCAUGUCCCCUCCUGUCCCUUAGGUCCCNNNNNNNNNNNNNNCCCUUUGGGGGUCCCAUGUCCCCUCCUGUCCCUUUGGGAUGUCCCACAUCCCUUUGGGGGGAUCCUAUGCCCAUUUGGGGGUCCUACAUCCCUUUGGGGAGGGGUCCAUGUCCUUUUGGGGGUCCCAUGUCCCUUCCUGUCCCUUUGGUCUCCUUGGGGUGUCCCCCAUCGUUCUGGGGGGGUCCCAUGUUCUUUUGGGGGUCCCAUGUCCCCUCCUGUCCCUUUGGGAUGUCCCACAUCCAUUUGGGGGGGGUCCUAUGUCCAUUUGGGGGUCCUAUGUCCAUUUGGGGAGGGGUCCAUGUACUUUUGGGGGUCCCAUGUCCUCUUCUGUCACUUUCAUCUCUUUGGGGUGUCCCCCAUCCCUCUGGGGGGGGUCCAUGUCCCUUUUUGGGAUCCAAUGUCCCCUCCUAUCCCUUUGGGGUGUCCCCUAUCCUUUUGGGGGGGUCCCAUGUCCCUUUGUGGUUUCCCACAUCCCUCUGGGGGUCCCAUAUCCCUUUGAGGGAUCCCACAUCCCCUCCUGUCCCUUAGGCCCCUAUUGGGGGGUCCCACAUCCCUUUGGGGGGGUCCCAUGUCCCUUUUUGGGAUCCAAUGUCCCCUCCUGUCCCUUUGUGGUGUCCCCAUCCCUUUGGGGAGGGGUCCAUGUCCUUUUGGGGGUCCCAUGUCCCCUCCUGUCCCUUUGGUCCCUUUGGGGGGGUCCCACAUCCCUGUGGGGGAGGUCCCAUGUCCCUUUUUGGGAUCCAGUGUCCCCUCCUGUCC